UAGUGAGUUUGAUCCUGGCUCAGGAGUGAACGCUGGCGGUCUGCUUAACACAUGCAAGUCGAACGCAAGUAGAAAGUACUUGAGUGGCGGACGGGUGAGUAACGCGUGAGAAUCUGCCUUCUGGUCGGGGACAACCACUGGAAACGGUGGCUAAUACCGGAUAUGCCUAUGGGUGAAAGAUUAAUUGCCAGAAGAAGAGCUCGCGUCUGAUUAGCUAGUUGGAGAGGUAAAGGCUCACCAAGGCAUCGAUCAGUAGCUGGUCUGAGAGGG
This 270-nucleotide ribosomal RNA is filed under the name uncultured bacterium. RNAcentral describes it as "partial 16S ribosomal RNA". It matches the Rfam family "Bacterial small subunit ribosomal RNA", at positions 1 to 300 of the family's 1533-position model. The record is from RNAcentral.